This 870-nucleotide long non-coding RNA is filed under the name Homo sapiens (human). RNAcentral describes it as "HSALNT0383665". The record is from RNAcentral. Lineage: Eukaryota; Metazoa; Chordata; Mammalia; Primates; Hominidae.
AAUCAGGAGGGAAGGUGGAGCCCACAAUCUUUGCAAACUCUCUGGGGAGCCAGGGGUUGGUAGCUGGGAAGACUUGGGUGGUGACCCUGGGGGAGGGGAAGGGGCCGGGGAGCGGGGAAUGGGGGCAGCCCCUGGGGAGGAAUGGGAGAGGGAGGAGGACGCCAGGGGCACAGGGACAGCCUCCGGGGCGGGGCGCGGCGCCAGCCUAGCCCGAGGAUGGAGGCUGAGGCCGCCUGUUGAGUCACAGGUUUUGGCAGAGUUCAAAGACUGGGAAGCAAAGUUCAGCCAUGUUGGGCCUUUGGGCUCAUAGAUGAGCAAGGGUACCCCAAUAUGAGGGCUCAGCAAAUUCUGGAACUUAUCAGUUCUGAAGACCUUUAGAGGAGAAGGAGACAAGUAAAAGGUAUGUAGUCCUGGAGGGCGCUGCUUAAUGAACCAGAAGUCCUGCCUCUUAAGUACCUCACCAGCUCAAAUGUGUGCAUGUCACCUUGGCGUGAAUCGGAGCAGGCGCUGGUGGAUACCGUUUGGAGGCAUGCCAGCAAGGAGCUCCUUGUGUAGCCUGCCUCUGGAGCCUCAAGUUCAACUUCCAUAGGGCCAAAAGGGGAGUCGGGCUGGGCAGAAGCUCCUGAGAACCAAAGCAAAUGGUCUGAGAGUCUGAGAGUGUAGUGGAGGUAACGUGUUCGUGUCCUCUCUGGCUGCAUCACCCCAAGUCCUUGCAGACUCAAGUAGCCUAUUUGCAAGUUUAAAUAGUUUGAGUCCUGGCCGGUAACAAGAAUACUCUACAGUGGCCCAGAGUCAGGGAUAUAGAGUGGCGACUACUUGGCAGAACUGGAGCUUGCUCAGAUGAAAAGAUAAAUUGUACUGGUUAAACGA